RNAcentral lists this long non-coding RNA (33510 nucleotides) under Cucumis sativus (cucumber). Its description in RNAcentral is "long non-coding RNA (CSAT_LNC002781)". Lineage: Eukaryota; Viridiplantae; Streptophyta; Magnoliopsida; Cucurbitales; Cucurbitaceae. The record is from RNAcentral.
AAAAAAUUUCCUAUGAAAAAAGUUAGUCAAAAGAGGUAAAUCUACUCCUGAUGAGUAGAAUCAGGAUCAUUAGUAUAUAAAAUCUGAAAAUCCUUUCAUUCUUCAUCUUUCUACAUUUUCUUUUAGCACUUGUCUAGAGACAAUCUAUGAUAGAGUACUUGCAUCCGACAUCCCAAUUAUAAAAAAUUGAACCAUUGGGCAAUAACAAGAUUUUGAGUAAACUCAGAAAACUUUAAUUCACAGCCUAAUUCUCAAGCCAAAAAUCCUUCACAAAAAAGAAAAAAAAAAAAAAAAAUCUACUACUAAUACCAAGUUUAUAAAUAACAAAAGAAUCAACUUGUACUUGAGCCUUGGAAAUACUUCUCCAAGAACUUGGAAGACUCAAUCCAAACUUUUUAGGUGUGUGCCACUUAUAAAGAGCUUUCCCACGUAUGCUUUGAACAACUUUACAAAUGAAAGCUAAGCAGUAUACACACUCUUAAAAUAGUAAGUGUCGGUGUCAGACACUCACACGCCCCGACAUGCGUCGGACUUCAACAUACCAGUUUUUAUUAUUAAAUUUGUAAUAUCUGACACGACCAAACACCACAAAUGGCACCUCAAGACACCACAAGCUGCAAGGUUUUAUUUAAAAACAAUUAAAUGCUGUCUUUUUUAGCUGACUUAGCAACAGUGAAGGGAGGGGAUGUCGACAUCGUUUGGCUAAGCAACGAUAAAGGAUGAGAUCGACGUCAUUAAGAAGAAUCUUAUCAAUUAUCAGUGGCGAAAAUGAAGUUUUCUCUGGAUAACCACCAAGUGAAUGCCCAAGAUAUGUAAUAGACAAAUAUUGUACCUCACAACGCAAACAACAAGAAUUGGACAACUUAUCUUUUUCCAUGCUAACACUACGCAGAAGAUUUUUCCCAAUUAUCCUUUUUGGCCAAAACACCUCUCAAAUAACUCAAACGGUUUUAAUGAGAACAUCUAAUAUCCCGUCAUCACAAUUGCAUAAUAAUAUCAUGUCAUCGCCAAAUUGAAGAAUAAAAACAUGAACUUUAUCAACUGUCAACAGAAUGCCGUGUAACCACCGAAAGAAGAAAAAAAUCACCCACAAUAAACCCUUUGAUAGGCACAUUAUAUAAGGGCUAAAAAACACACUUAGAACCUCACUAACUAAGAGAAAAAGGUAAGGAGGAAAGAGAAUCGUCAACCUAAUUCUCCUUGAAGUAGGGAUUCAACCACAGGUCUACCAUCCAAACGGAAAAUUUAGGGUCUCUAAUGCAACAACUAAUCCAUGAAAUCUACUUAGGAUCAAAGCCUUCAAGGAUAAGCACAUUUUCCAAGAAGUCCCAAUUCACCCCACCAAAACAUUUCUCCAAUUUAAGUUUUAAGAUCCAACCUCCCUCGAACUUCACCACUUCAUUUGCUUUAAGUAUUGGAUUAAUUAUCUGUCCCCCCGAUAAAAGCACUUUGAGAAGAAUAAAUGAUGCUUGGCAUGAAUCUCUCACGGGUCUGUUGGUUCAAGAUUUUAUAAAUGUUCGGGAAUUUAAAAUGUUUUAGAAAAAACUGUUUGGGAAUUAAAAAUAACUAUGUUUGGUUGUGUAGGGGAACAUUACCAACUUUUCUUAAGAACAAGUAAUGUAGGCUUUUGUUGUUUCACAAUGAUAUUAUCAUAUUUGAAAUAAAUUAUAUUAUAAUUUAAAUUGUGGGCUAUUAUUUGGUACACGAUCGUUUAGAUUGUUUUUUGAAGAUUUUUUGGUACACGAUCGUUUAGAUUGGGUUAUUAUUUGGUAUACGAUAGUUUAGAUUUGAUUGUUUAAGUUUGAUAGUUUAGAUUUGGGUACAAGAUUCCUUUAGAUUUGGCUACCCAAAUCUGAACUAUUUUUUAAAAGAUCUUUUGUAUACGAUCGUUUAGAUUUGGCUCAUAUUUGUUAGAUUUGGUUGUAGCCAAAUCUAAACGUGUACCAAUAUGCCAACGAUUUUUGUUCAAGAUCGUGUACCAAGAUAUUUUAUAUUUGGUAUACGCUUGAACAACCAAAUAACAAUUUGAAAAAAAAAUAGAAGAAAAAUUGCCGAAGAAAGAAGAUAGAAAAGAAGGGUAAACCUGGAAUAUUUAAAAAAAAUGGCUGGCUUCAUGAGCAUUUUGAUUGUGUUAAACGGGCCAUAAAUAUUUAGGUGUUUUAUUAUAUUUAUGAAAAUUUCCUAUUAGUUUACUCUAUUUAUUUUUAGAAAAUUAGUUAGUUAAUUAUUAGAACUCAAGGACAAAGAUGUACAACCUAUAGAACAGAUUCUGUUCAAUUAAGGUUGUAGUUGUUAGUUAAUUAUUAUUUUAAGUCAAUAUUCUCAAAUAAUUUAAGACUAUAAUUCAAUUUAAUGAAAAAACAAGAUGAAAAAUAUCACAACAAUGGUAGGAAAUAAUAAGAAAAUAAAAGGUCAAAAAUAGAAAGAUAAAUAAUAAAGUAUAAGAAAAAUUGAAAGGAAAACAUGUAAAAAAGAAAAAAAAAAGGUAAAAAAGGGAUGAAAAUUUUCAAUAUAACCAGAUGGGAUCAUGAAAGAUCACCAACGGGUAGGACAACAAAGGAGAUGAAAAUUUUCAAUAAAUUCAUCGAGGAAGCUGCCAUACAGGAUUUAUCUUUAUCAAAUGGUCUGUUCUCUGGUUCAGAAAGGGAAUUUCAACUCCCUCUUUUACUUACAAUGGAUCUUUGGACCAUUCUUCAAAGACAAUCAUUAUGGGGUUCCUUAUCUAAAUUGUUUGGAGACUAAUCAAUUCAAGAUAUUUGUCUCAAUUGGAACGUGUUUAUAACCUCUAACUAAUACCACUAUGUUCUAGUAAUUUAUGUUUUGAUGUAUUGUUGGUUGUCUUCUUUUGGUAUUUACCAGGUGUAUUUUCUAACUUUACAACUAAUCUUUGAAAUGGAUGAGGUGCCUUGUUUGAAUGAGGACCUGUUCCAUUGGUGUAACAGCAUAAAUAAAAUUUGCUGUGUGAGUUUCAUUAUUUAUUUCUUGCAUCCACUUAGUUUUGUUGAUAAUGUUUGGCUAUAUGCAACAGGUUGAAACUCAAAAUGGCAAAAGGGAGCAAGGGACGUCGCAGGUUGGCUUCCCGUCAAUUCAGGUCAAACCCGUAUCCACUCCCUUAUAAGAGGGUUUUCCCAGAGGAUUUGUGCCCAAAGGAUUGUGUCAAUGCUGUGGAUAAGAAGUACUGGGAAGACUCAACAUGCUCGGUUUGCAUGGAGUACCCACACAAUGCUGUUCUGUUACUUUGUUCAUCGCAUGACAAGGGUUGUCGUCCCUAUAUGUGUGGUACAAGCCUACGUUAUUCCAAUUGCCUUGACCAGUACAAAAAGGCUUACACCAAAGUAAUUUCAUCCAACAAUGCACAAACAGUGAGUGCCUCAAUCGACAACCCAGGUGUUGUACAGGACCCAAGUUUACUGGGUGAAAAUCAUGAAGCGACUGAGCUUGCAUGCCCCCUCUGUCGUGGGCAGGUGAAAGGAUGGACUGUGGUUGAGCCUGCCCGAGAAUAUCUGAAUGCAAAAAAGAGGACCUGUAUGCAGGAUAGCUGCACGUUUGUAGGAAAUUACAAGGAAUUAAGGAAGCACGUGAGAUCGGAGCACCCAUCUGCAAGGCCGCGGGAGGUGGAUCCUGUGCUUGAACAAAAAUGGAGAAGUCUGGAACGGGAACGCGAGAGGAAUGACGUGAUGAGCACAAUCCGGUCGACAAUGCCUGGAGCUGUGGUCUUUGGGGAUUAUGUGAUAGAAGGAAAUAAUUUUGGAUUUGAUUCUGACGAAGAGGACGGAGGGUUAAAUGCUAAUUCUGCAGAGAGGAAUGCGGGUUUUGAAGUGGGUUUUGAUAGUAAUUUGGUGAAUAUGUUUCUUCUGUUACAUGCUUUUGGUCCAUCGAGUGGUGACCUCAACAGACGGCUUAGACAGCCAGAGAGAAUUUUCUCUCCCAGAUCAAACGAAGGCGUGGCAGGCAUUCCGAACACCACUCCACUCAGUAGUUUUGAUUCCAUUAAUGAAGGCAGUGAUAAUGGUGGAAGUGACGACGACAAUGGGAGUGGUAUGUCAUUGGUUAGCCGCCUUCGCCAUCAUGGGAGGGUACUGUUGGGACGUUCAGGUAGGAGGCGUAGGAAUAGAGAAAAUAGUAGCCAUAGAUGAUCAAAUUGGGCACAGAAACAGAAAGGAGGGGUAGGAAUAGGAAACAUUUCGCAGGUACAUAGUUUAAGAAAAAGAAAACGUAGAAGAAAAUUUUAAAUAAAGGAAUACAACUUGUGGAGUUUCAGCAAAAUUGAUCACAUUUGCCCCAUCUGAAAAGGGGAGAUGGAAAAGUUGGCAGGUUAGCCUGUCGUGUAAUUUAUUGUUAAUUGUAUAAUUUCCUGAUUGCCUUAUCCUCCUCUUGAUGAUACGUCAUUUGGUUGAAAAUUUACCUGUAAUCAUCUCAAAUUAAUGUAUCUUCUCGACAUUGGUUCACGAAGUCAUUCCACAAAAUGACACCAAUUUGUUUACGUAAUUUGCUCUCUGCUUUGAAUUUUAACUCGCUGCACCGUCUCCAUUGUUAUUGCUUUGAUUUGAUUGAUGAGGACAUCAUUUGUUUCUAAAGAUUUUAAGACAGGCCUUUACUCCCUCUUUUAUCUUUAUUUGUUAUUUCUAAUAAAAAUGAAUUUGUAGAAUGGGGCCAUGGUCAUAGACAAAUUGACGUUGUCUGGUGGGGGUACAGCCUUGGUAUGAAUUAAAGACUUAGUUUAAUUGAUUCAUGGGAUUUUGACAGAUGUUUAGAGACUGGUUUGGUAGCCAAUUCGAAAACAAGAGAUUACAUGAAAAUAAAUUGUAUUGCAUAAUUUAAAUGAUUACGUGAAUAAAUUGUAUUUCAUAAUUUCAAAUGAUCACAUGAAUAAAUUGCAUUUCAUAAUUUCAAUUUCCAAACUAUUCAUAAUUUCAAUUGUGUUCUGAAGUAAAUUUAAAAAUUAGAUUCUAAUUUAAUACUAUUGUAGUUAUAGUUUUAACAGUAAAAUUAUUAUCAUUUUAACACGUUUUAUGUUUAAAAAAGUUACAUAAUUAUGAAUUAUACAAUUUGUAUUUGUAAUAUAGCCUUAUAUGGUUUCCGUAACAGCUUCCCAAGUAGUUACAUAUGGCAGUGAUUAUUUAUGAGGAUUUUAACGGUGUAUAUGAAAGUUUUAUCAAAUUAUAGAAACUAAAAUGAAAUUUAGAAAAAGUUAAUUUUAUAAAUAUAACAACACACCUAAAUAUUUAUGGAAUGUGUAACAAAAUAAAAAAGAUCUUUAUAUUUUCAUAAAUUUGAGGUUUAAUAUUCCGGAUCAUUUUUCACUUCUUUUUCUUCUUCCUUGCAAUCUAUUCAUCUUCUCUUCAUAUAGUUACUUCUUCUAUUCAUAUUUUCACUUGUUUUUGUUUGUGAUUUUUUUUUUGUCAUUUCUUUUAUAUAUAUAUAUAUUUCACUUUUUCAAAUUCUCACUUGGUAAACGUUCUUUAUCAUCUCUCAUAUAUUUUCUUCUCAGAUCUAAAUGAUCAUGUACUAAGAUCUAAACGAUUGUGUACCAAAGUGUACUAAAUAUAUUAGCAUUCAAGAUGUACCAAAGAGUACCAAAUAUAUAAGAUUUUGAUAGACGAUCGUGAACCAAAAUUGUUUAGAUUUGGUACGCGAUCGUGUAUUAAUAUCUAGACGAUCUUGGUUCGCAAUUGUGAACCAGAAUUGUUUAGAAUUGGUACAAGAUCAUGUACCAAGAUCGUUUAGAAUUGGUAGAUCAUGCGUCGGGUGUACCAAGAACGAUUAUGUAUCAUUUCCUACACGACCACGAUUGCAUAUCAUGAUCGUAUAGAAGAAGGAUUACACGCACGCAUGUGGCCAGUGUUGAUACUACCUACACGAUCGUGUAUCAUUUCCUACAUGAUUGCCUAUCAUGAUCAUUUAGAACAAGAAUUACACGUGCGCUUGUGGUCGGUUAAUCUCGUAUUGACUAAGGUAUUUUUUUGUAUUUUUCAUUGUCAUCCUGUGAACUUUUUCUGUUUUCUAAAUUGUUCUAUAUAAUAUAAAUAUUUCGUCGGUUUGUUAUAUUUUUGAAAAAACCCCUUCAAGAAAUUAGACGGACGAACUUCCAACUUUUUCCAAACCAUACAAUUAAAUUUGCAAUUAAACUCAAUAUAAAUAUGUUACAUUAUUUAUAUUUUUAUUCUAAAAAGGUGAAUUGAGUUUACAACCUAUGUUUUAUUUUUAAAUGUUAUUAUUUUAUUUAAGUAUUUUGUAUUUUUAAAUUUAAAGCACAAAUAAUAUUGUUUUUAGAAUUUGCACAAUUUGGAUCAUAUAAUUUGAAAACAAUUUGUAGAAACAAAGUUUUGGUUGCCUACUAAACAUAUAUAUUUACUAAAUUUAAUGAAUAUGAGAACAUAAAACAAAUUCUAGACUGCCAACUAAUUAGACUCGCCAACGGCAACUACUCAACAAAUGUUUAUUGAAUAAAAGAGUUUUUGCAACUUUUGAGUUAAUGAGAUUUUCAUCUUUCUUCCUAUGUGCUAGCCAUAGUGCGACCUUUGUCACUGAUGACGAGUCCAAACAAUUUUUCUCCUCAAAAAAUGCAAUGUAGUUAGAUAUAUUACUAGAUUUAAGAACAUCACUAUAUUUUUAAUUUAGAAUAAUCAAUACAUCUUCUGCCUACAUAUACGUGGAAGUUGUCUCUUCUUCAUUGAUUUGAACUUUGCACUUUCAGUCUAAUCAAAUACAAAUGGAUUAAUGGUACUUGUAUGUGCCUUCUAAAACAAAUGACAUUCCAUCCAGGCGAACUAUAGUGCGAAUAUAUUUCUAAGUCCUCACUUUUAUUUCAAAAUAAAUAUCUGUCAUUUACACAUGUAUUAAUUUUUUUAUAUCCCAAAUCAAAUGUUUCGAAAAAAAUUAUGACAUCAUAAAGAGAUCGUGGGAUAACAUUGUUUGAAAGUAGUAUAUCAUUCAAUAAUUCCAAUAAGUUACUAAAACUUUUAUCAGUUCAACUAUUCAAAGUUUUAAGUUUAUAUAAGGCCACCAUAGCUGAUAUCUUUGUGAAUUUUGUACAAUCGAGAUAUAAGAGGGCUUUGCAUUUUUAAUUUUUUUUUUAUGAAGUUCACUAUGGGUACUUCAUCUCUUUCAUAUGUAUACUGAUACAUGUUAAAUACAUCAAACAUAUCUACAUCCUCAAUUUCUUCCUUUACACAAACUACCGUGUGAUGGUACAAAAUCUUAUAUGUUUGGUCAAUUUCCUUAAUUACUGAAAGUUUUCCAGUCCAUGGCAUCGACAUCUUCUUGUCAAGCUUUGAUCGACUUCCACCAACCUUCUGCCUCUUUCUAUGGUAGAAAAAUUGUCAACUUACCUAUUUGUUCUUUCGGAUUGUCCAUUACUUGAAAACAGUUCUCUAAUAGAUUCAAUCAGUCUUCAACGUCCACUAAAUUAAAUAGCAAAAUUGUAAUUAUAGUCAAAUCUCUGUCAAAAAAAAUUUUAGAAAAUUUUGAGUUUAUUUUUAUUUAAAUUAUUAAGAUGAGACAAAAUUAAACUAAUUUAAAAUUUAAUGAUUGAUUAAAUACAAAAAGAUAAUUGAGAGGCUGUAGAUUUAAGAAGAAGAAAAUAAACUAAAAGUAAUAAAAAAAAUAAAAAAAUCCCAAACUAUCUUAAAAUGGAGUGACAUUUUUUUAGAAAUAAUAAUCAUAGUAGUAAAAGGUAUUUAUUCCCAAUAAAAGAAGAAGAAAAAGAAGAAGAAGCAAAAAUAGUGUAAUAAUUAGAAUUGAAAGAUAUGUUGUGAGAGUUAGGAUUUGGUUAGCUCCCUCGCAUAAUAUUCCUUAGAACUAUAAGAAAAAUUAAAAAAGAAAGUAUGAAGAUAGAGAACAGAAGAGAAAAUAAGAAGGCUGCAAAGCGCAAUAACUUUUCUUCAGCUUAAAAACUAGAAAGAGAGAGAGAGGUCCAGAGGAUGACUUCUUCUUCUUCUUUAUCUCUCUGCCUCUUCUUCCCUUUUCCUUCUUCUUCCUCCUCUUCUCUUAGAUUCAUCAACAUUUCCAAUCCCUUCUUCUCCCCAAGCCCUAAUUUCCCACUUUUUGUUUCUUCCAGGCGCCGCUCUUCUCUCAAUACAUCUCUGGUAACUUCUCUCUCUUCUCUUUUCUUCUCUCUUUCAACUCUUCAUUUCUCUUUUUGCUUUCUCGAUUUUUCUUGUUCUGGUGUUGGACGGAUUGGGACUGGGAUUGGUUAAAUUUCCAAAUCUCUUGUUGAAAUUAUUUGCUGUUUCUUUACAAGCCCUGUAUUUUUCUGCUUCUUGAUUUCUUGUUCUUUAUUGACUGUAUGGCACUCAAUUUCUUGUGUGUUUAUGUAUAAAGAUUUGUUGAAUCUUUUAUAUACACAAUUUAUAACCGAGAGAAACGCUAUUCUUGAGAUAAAGAGAUGAUUAUAUGGACGAGAGAACGGUUGUUAAUCGUUGAGGUCUGUCAAUUUAGAGACAUGAACUUUUAGUGCUGGGCAGAUAAUCUGAAGUUUGAUGAUUUAAGGCAUUGACUUUCUUUUGCUAAAAAAUAAUUUUCUUCGUUUUGAACCAUAAAGUCAUUGUAAAGUUGGUUUAGGAUAUUAAUAGGCUCUCUUAGGAAUGGCCAAGUGCCAAUUACAAAUGGAAUGCAAGGAACUUCAGUUUUUCUUUUUUUCUUUUGAUGAGAAUUCACUAUAAUUGAACCAUUUGGGUAAAAAUGAGACGAAGUCUUAAUGGCAAAAAGGUCAUGAGUUCAAUCCAUGGUGGCCUACCUAAGAGUUAAUUUCUUACAAGUUUACUCGACAUCCAAAUGUUGUAAGAUUAUGCAAGUUGGCCUGUGAAAUUAGUCAAGGUGUACGUAAGCUGACUCGAAUACUCACUUUCAUUGAGAAAAAAAUGAAAGAAUACAAGGGUAUCCUACAAACACCGACCCACGAAAAGGAGUAGCACCCUCUAAAGAAAAGGACCCAUCUGUGCAAAAUAAUACCUAUAGUAUAGUUACAACAAAUCUUAGAAUUUAAAUUCAACGAUGAACCAUGAGAAUGACAAAGGAACCAUUUCUUGCUUGGAACCUUCUCCACACUAGUGUUUUCGAAGUGCAAGACUUAGGGCGACGGGUUCCUUGAUCCCCUCAAGGCGAGAGGGGACAAAAAGGUGACGCUCGAGCGAAGUGAUGCGCAAUAAAUAAAUAAAUAAUAUAUGUAUAAGCAUAAUAUAAGUUUAUACACAAGUGUAAGCCCAAAGAUUAUGGUAGUUAUCUAAUCAAUAAAAAUGAACAAAAAUUCAAAAGUAAAAUUUAUAAAACGAUCAAAUGUCAAAUUCAUCAUCCUCCCCAUCUAAAUCUAAUGUUUCAUCCAUUGCUCCUCCUUGGCCAUUGUCCCCGAUGUCUAAUUCCUCUACAUUGUUGUCUGCAUCUUCAUCACUAACCACUUGUAUAGUUGGUGUUUUCUUUUGAACUCUAGAAAUGGAGGUAGAGGCAACUGAAUUUCUUUUUGAUCUAGUGUAUAUGAUGAAUUCUCUAACAUCAGUGGCACGAGCUACAUCUCCCCAUGUGAGGUUGAUGUCAUAAAAAACUCUCUUAUUGUGAACUUCAGCUUCAUUAUUUUCUUCAACCAAUGUUCCCACCAUUCAUUAUUCUUGUUGAUAUUAUCCAAGGAGAUUGGACCAAGUUGAUCCUUUAGAUCAAACCGCUCUUUAAUUACUUGAUUAUACUUUACAUAAACAAAUCAUUUAAGCGCUUUUGCUCCAAUCUCUCUCUUUUUCAUAUGAAUCUACAAAUUAUUAACCAAUACGGAGUCACAAGAAUAUUUAAAAUCUUAAAUUAAUAAUAUGAGAAAAACAAAAUAAUCACUUACAUGUUAAAAAACUCUCCAAUUGCAUUCACUCCCAGAAGCUCUGCAUGUUAGCUUAAGGACUUGCAUUGUUAACUUUUGCAAAAUUGGAGUGCUACCAGCAUAAAGAGCCCACCAUGAUGCUGUUCACACAUUUUGACAUGACAUAGAAAUAAUAUAUAUAUAUUUAUAUACACUAUUAAGUAUUAAUGCAGUAGGGAAUGUCCAUACCUGGUGUCUUGACUGUCCUCGUGUUAAUUGCUAAGUCAAUGCCGAACAUACCUUUAGCUUCAGAAUAUAACUCUAAUUCCACUGUGCAUUGAUGAAACCGUUUGAGCUGAGAGUGGAAAAGAAAAAAUUGGCCCUCUUCGUGUAGCCGUAUUUCCACAUCAUAUUGGAAGGGAGAUAUUUCUCACUCUUCCUAUUGCUCAUCAAAUCUAUAAAAAUAGAGCUCACUUUAAAGCUGCCAUUUGGAUCUGAUAUCGAAGUCCAAUGAUUGAUGGGAUUCUUUGCUUAGACAUUGCCGAAAUAUGAGUUACGAGGCUCUUCAAGGACACCCUAUGAUCCUUGAGGCUUGAUUUGUAUACCAAGAUUUCAGCUUCUACUCGAAGAAAUCCAUCUGCCUUCAAUGGAUGAUAUUUUUUACUAGGUAAAGAAUAAUAUCUUAGGAAGUCAGCUACAAAUUGGUAAUUAGUUAGAGAGAUUAUUAUGGUAUUUGGUUAUAAAUUGAUGGAGGAACGGAUGAAAUUAUUUUUGGUGGUUUCGUGGGGUGUAUACCUUUUUGUGGGAUAUUUGAGGGAGAGGUUUGGUCCUUAAUUAUUGUAACAUCUUACUUAGUCGGAAACCCUUUCUAUAGCGUGGUGCUUUUAUGGGUUUUUUUUUCUUUGUAUGCUUUUGUAUUCUUUCCUUUUUGUUCUUAAUAAAAGUUGUUGAUUCUAUCAAAAAAAAAAAAAAAAGAAAAAAAAAAAAGAAUAAAGAAAAAAGAAAGAAAAGAUGGUUUAGGCCCGAGUUAGUAUAUUCUAGAGAGAGAAGGUUCCAAGUAUAUUAUCUUUUAUAUUUCAAUAAAAAAAAUACCAUUCCAGUUUUGUCUGGGAUCUAUCGAAUUACUAAAGGUGCAGUUUCGUUAUGAUCAUGGAAUCCAAUUCAAAUUUGGUGAAGAGAUACUGAGGUGUAUGUGAAAGGUUGGAUCAGUAGAUAGAUCGAUGGCAGGUGACCUCUGAGAAUUAUUUAUUUAUCAACAAGGAUGCACCAAGGAAGAAUUGUUGAACUUCCCCUCUCUCCCAUGGACAAGACUCUCUCUAACAAAGUAAAGUCAUAUCCUCCCAAUCCCAUCCUUGUAGUAUAUAUUCAUCUCUCACUACAACCCAACACACUACUCUCUUGGGCUUCUGGGCAUCCCAUCCUUAUUUUACGGGGCACCAUUUAGGUAUCUAUGUUGACAUGAUUAACUUGGUAUUUCUGAACUUAUCUUCGAUUACUUAUUGUGAUUAGUUAGCUUUAUUCCUAUAUUUUGGAUCUUUGUAUAUGCGAUGACAAUUGCUGAUUCCGUUAUCAAAAAAGUUGAUGUUCUUAUCUUGUUUGGUUAAUUGACCAGAUUUUGAUUCCCAGUUGACUUGGUGCUCUUCAAACCUACUAAUUUAUUUAUUUAUUUAUUUUUGUGUGCAUUGUGACUAUUUGGAUGUUGGCAUGAAAAUAGCGAGUUUUUGCAUCACCACAUUUGUGGGCAGUUGGUUUUCACUAAUGAUUUACUAUCAGGGGAUCUUUUUUAUGUACUGGUUAUAGUGGAUUCGAGGGCAUAUAAGAGGAGAUACAGAUGGAGAUAGUAGUGUGCCUCAAAAGAACAAUACAAUGCGGAUGUUUGGAUUUGGAUCUAAUGAUGAGACAGGCACUCAAAUUCCAACCCAAGCCCAAUCGAUUGUGGAAGGAUCAGGAUCAGUUAUGGUUUCUGAGUUCAAACCAGUUCCUGAUGUUGAUUAUCUACAGGUGAGUGUUAUGGGAUCUAAUCUUUUAUUUUUCUUUUAAUGACUAUGAAAUUAGUAAUAAGUGAAGUCCUAUUCCAAUCCUUGCUCAGAAAAGAAAAACUUUAAAGUUCUAUCCAGAUUGGUUAAUAGUUAUAAAACUAAAAGAGGGCUUGGAAGAACCUAAGGGGUACAGACAUGGAAGUGGCACACGCCAUACAAUAUGACAAUGUCCCAAUUUCUAAAAAAAGUAGGAUACGGGCAUGCUGGAGCAAGUGCGGAUUUACUAAGGGGCCAUCUCAACUUGAAAACUUAUUGUAUUUUUAUAUAUUUUUUCAAACUAAUUAAAUUUACACUUUAGCUUAAUGACUAAAGGAUUGUGGUUUGAAUCUUGCAUACCUAACUAAUUUAGACUUUUUAUUAUAACAAAUGGACUCUUAUGUUUCCAUUAAACUUUUUAUCAUGAUUAUCUUAAUCUCGAUACAUUUAAAUUUAACUGUAGGAUAAGAAGGUUAAAAUAAGAUUUUGAUCUUCAUAUUUUGGGACUCAUUUUAUUCAAGUUCACAUACUCCCUAGAAAUUCAAAUUUAGUUCUUGUAUUUUAACAAAUCUUUGGAUUAGUUUCUCGUUAUAAUUUAAAGAAACUUUUUAUUGAGACUAAAUUUAUUUUGGUAAUUUUAACCUGAUAGUGGUUAAUUUUAAAAUCAAUAAAAGCACAUGGUUUUAUACUGAACGUUUUAAUUAUGUGGACUAGUGUUAUGUCGGCCAUCUUCCGUAAAAUGAUUGAAAUAUAAGAAAAAAGUUUUGUAUUUUUCCUCUAAUGCAUUUUGAGUCUGUAACCCAUCAGACCUCCACCCGUUAAAGAUCUAAUCAACCCAUCUUCCUCUGCUUCACUCUCCUCCCCUUCUUCUCUCUCUUCUUCAGCAAGAUCAGGGUCAAGAGCAAACUUCAAAAGACAGAAAUCUCCCAAGCCGCAUCCACAUUUUUUCAAGUUAUUCCCUAAGCAUUUAGCUAGAAGGCGAUUGAAGGGAGCUUCUGUUAAAAAUUCCCCGAAGUCUAAGCUAUUUGCAGACUAAAACCUGGACUUGUUAGAGUCAAAUUGUGCCCACUCUCAAGCCCCUUCUCACUCCAACAGGUUAAACCCCCAGCCUCCCUCUCAUCCCCAACUUACACACUUUAUUUUCUCCCUUCCUAACUCUAAGAUCAAAUUCUUGAGAGGCACUCCAAUCCUCACCCCGACUCCUCCUUAAAAAAAGGGGAGUCUCAAUUUUGAUUCGCCAUUUAGCGUGAGUAGCGAGGAACUCUCUUAUAGGAAGGUCUACCGGGAAGGAACCUCAGCUUGAGAAAGACCCUCUGCAACCAGUCCUCAAAGCUUUGUUCUAUCCAGAGGAGGGCCCCGACCCUUGAUAAAAAAAAUUCAAAAGCUGGAUUACAUGAUCAAAUACUGAAACCUCCACUUCAAACUUCGAAAAUCAAAAAACGGAAUCUGUACUUCAAGACUCUCAGCACCAAAUUCCACCUCAUUUAAAGUCUUUUGCUGACAAAUGUAAACUUAUUUUGGUUUGAUUUCGUUUGGUAGAUCAAUCUGAGGUUCAAUGAAAAUUAUCUCGUGGAACACGAGAGGCCUGAAGGAUGCAAACAAGAGAUUAGCGCUCUAGAGAUUCCUGAAAAAGCAUAACCCGGAUUUGGUACUCAUUCAAGAAUCAAAGAAUGAAAAUUUUGAAUUGUGUUUUAUAAAAUCACUAUGGAGCUCAAAGGACAUUGGAUGGGAUUUUGUUGAAUUAUUUGGAACCACGGGAGGAAUGUUGACAAUGUGGGACACAAAUAAGUUAUCGCCAUCGGUCACUGAAACACUAAAAGGUGGAUACUCUUUAUCUGUAAAAUGCAUCACAUUAUGGAGAAAAACUUGCUGCCUUACUAAUGUGUAUGGUCCUACUGAUUAUAAGGACAGGAAAUUUGUAUGGCCUGGACUACUAAUUCUCUCGGAUUAUUGUAUGGAAGCUUGGUGUUUUGGAGGUGAAUUCAACAUCACAAGAUGGGUGCAUGAAAGAUUUCCACUAGGGAGAAUAACUAGAGGCAUGCGGCUGUUUAAUAACUUCCUUGAAAAAGCUUAACUGUUGGAAAUUCCCCAUGGAAAUGACAGGUUCACUUGGUCACGGGAAGGGGCUUCAGUUGUAAGAUUAGUCUUGGACAGAUUUGUCAUUAACAAGGCUUGGGAUGAUGAAUUCGAAAACAUAAGAGCUUCUAGGCAAGCUUGUUUAUUCUCUGAUCAUUUUCCCUUAUUUCUUGAAGCUGGAUCAGAUUUUGCAACAGCUGGUUGCUCGACAAAGACUGAUUUGGCAGUUGAAAGAGCAUGGAUUAACAGUGGUUCAGAAGGUUGGGCAUAUUUUGUUCUUAAUGCCAAGUUGAGAAGGGUUGAACUUGCAGUUAAAGAUUGGGUGGCUGAAUUCUAGAAAAAUCAAAUAAGAAGAGAAGAAGAGCUGACUCAAGAAAUUGAAAGUGGGAUGCUUUGGGAGCCAACCAGCCAACCAACUCCUUAGAGGAUGAGAGCGCUAGAUUCUUCCACAGAUUUCUUGCAACUCAAAAAAGGAAGAACCUGAUUACUGAGUACGAUAAUGACUUUGGGGAGCCAACCAGCCAACCAACUCCUUUAGAGAAAUUGAAAGCUUAAUCUGGAGAUUUAUACUAGGCUCUUCCCCGAAAGCUCGGUUCCGGGAUGUUUACCCACAAACUUUGACUGGCCUUGUGUAAUUCCCUUUUAGAAUGUUGUUAUUAUCACAGCAAAGUUCUCCAAAUUGGAAAUUAAAGCAGCUGUUAACUUCCUUGGAAAGUGUAAAGCCCCAUGUGAAUUCCUAAUUAAAUAUUGGAAUUUAGUCAAGUUGAACUUCAUUCAGUUUUCGACGAUUUUCAUGGAAAUAUAAAAUGAAAUGCUUGUGUUCAGGAGGAUUUCAUUUGCUUAAUCCAGAAAAAAGAAAAUGCAGUGUUUAUCAAAGAUUUCAGGCCAAUCAUUACGACCUUAACCUACAAGGUUAUUGCCAAGGUGCUAGCCAAGAGACUUAAAAAGGUAACGCUGUGCAUCAUUGCCCCCUCGCAAAGUGCUUUCAUAGAAGGAAGGAAAAUACUUGAUCCGAUCCUUGUUGCUAAUGAAAUUGUUGAGGAAUACAGGGCAAAGAAAAAAGAAAGGAUGGCUUCUUAAGCUUGAUCUAGAAAAAGCUUUUGACAAGGUUGAUUGAGACUUCCUUAAAAAAAUCAUGAGUAAGAAGUUUGACCACAAGUGGAUUGAAUGGAUCUUGGGUUGUGUUAAGAACCUGAGAUACUCAAUAUUCCUCAAUAGAAGACUGGGAGGAAGAACGUUGGCUACAAAGGGAAUCAGGCAGGGUGACCCCCUUUCAUCGUUCCUCUUCAUACUUGUAAGUGAAGUUCUUGAUGCUCUAAUUGAAAAUCUACAUCAGAAUGGCCUUUAUGAAGGUUUUGUAGUGGGAAAGGACAAGAUUCAUGUUCCAAUCCUUCAAUUUGCAGAUUACACCCUACUUUUUGCAAAUGCGAAAGCAACAUGUUAGUAACUUUGAAACAGACAAUAGAGCUUUUUGAAUGGUGCUCCUGGCAAAAAGUGAACUGGGACAAGUCGGCCCUUUUUAGAUAAACGUGGAAGAGAUAUCCUCUUUUUGGCAACCAGUUCUUGAUAAAAUUCAACUAAAGUUAGAUGAAUGGAAGAGGUUUAACCUCUCGAGAGGGGGGGAGCUAUGCUUUGUAAGUCUAUAUUCCUAAUGCCAGAAGAAGUCACUUCAAAAUUGGAAAGAAUCCUGAGGAAUUUCUUUUGGAAGGGAGGGCAGCAAAUUAAACUACCUUGUUAGUUAGUAAGUGGUCAACAAAUUCUUGAUGAAUGGUGGCCCUUGGCCUUGGUGGCUUCAAAUCUAAAAACUUGGCGCUUCUAGCCAAAUGGGAGUGGAGAUACAUGGAAGAAGACUCUCCGUGGUGCAAGGUUAUCAGGAGUAUCCAUGACAAAGAUUCCUUUAAUUGGCAUACUGCUAGAAAAGAAGGCAAAUGCGUGAGAAGCCCUUGGGUUAUUAUUUCCAGAACUUGGUUGAAAAUGGAAUCUUUAGCCACCUUUAGCUUGGGAAUGGGAGAAGUAUAGCUUUUUGGUUAGAUCACUGGGAGGGAGCGACCAUUUCAUCUAGCCCUUCCACAGUUGUUCAGAAUAGCUUUACUCCCAAAUGUUUUGGUUGCUGAUCGCUGAGACUCUGCAUUAUCAUCUUGGUCCCUAAUCUUCUGCAGUUUGCUAAAAGAUGAAGAGAUUUCAGACUUCCAAGUACUGUUUCGAAAAUUAGCAUCAAGAAAUAUUUCUGAAGUUCAAGACAGACAAAUAUGGUCACCUGGCGGCAGCAGAAAAUUUACAGUAAAGUCCCUUACUCUUCACCUGUCUGCUUCCUCCCCUCUGGAUAAAUUCCUCUAUAGUACUAUACGGCUCUUCGGAAGUCUAAUAGCCCAAGAAGGGUUAAUAUCUUCAUUUGGAUCACCCUGAUAGGUUAACUAAAUGUGUCCUCAGCUUUGCAACAUAAAUUGGCUAAUAGUUGCCUCUCUCCCUCCAUUUGCCCGCUGUCUACAACAUGAAGAAGAUUGCCAACACUUGUUCUUCCUAUGCAGCUUUUCGGCCAAUUGUUGGGAAAGUCUGCUCAACUUCUUUAAUAUUGGGCGUUUGGUGCAACUUUUUGUGAUAAUGUGAUUCCUCUGUUAAUCGGCUCCUGUCUAAAUAGAGAAACUUCUUUACUUUGGGUUAACAUGGUGAAAGCUAUACUGGCAGAAAUCUGGUUUGAGAGGAAUAUAGGGUGUUCCAUGAUAAAUCUCUUGAUUGGAAGGAUCACUUUGGAAACACGCAUCAAAAUACCUCCUCAUGGUGUUCGGCCUCAAAGAUCUUCAGCAGCUACAGCAUCCAAGGGCUCAACUUAAAUUGGAGUGCCUUCAUUUUUCUCCAGCUUGAUUAUUCCCCAAUGUGUUUGCGCUUCUGUUUUUUUCUUUUUUUGGUCGUACGCAAUCUUUAUAGCUUUCCUCCUUUGUUUUGGAAUCUAUUUCUUCUCCUACUAGUUAUCUUGUAAGCACUUGUUUAACUCUUUUGUACAUUGAACUUUUUGCCUCAUCACGAAUAUUAACAAAGCUACUCGUUUCCAUUUAAAAAAAGGUGUACAAUUUUAUCUUAAUAACUUUUAGAUUUGCAAAUGGGUACAAUUUUCAAGGAAACAAUUAUUUUUUUUUUUUUUGGGGGGGGGGGGGGGUAAGAAAUCAAGUUUUCUUUGAUAAAAGUUUAUACAGGGACAUACAAAUAAAGGUCGUUCUCAAAAAGCCCUCAACUAUCUACAAGAAUGGGCUGCGGUCCCUCAAACUUACAAAAAAUCCGUUCUUACCCGAGGAAACAAAUCUUUUGUUAACCUUUCUGUCACAUCUCUUAGUUAGCCAGUGCACACAAUUUCUCAUUUAUAGUUCUUGGUUUGAAGCUCAGCUCCUUCCAAAUUACAAUUUUUUUUUAUUUACUUUAUUAUUGAUUAUCAAUUUUUUUUUAUUUGCAGGAGUUAUUGGCCAUUCAACAACAAGGUCCUAGAGCCAUUGGCUUCUUUGGAACCCGAAAUAUGGGUUUCUUGCAUCAAGAACUCAUUGAGAUUCUUAGCUAUGCAAUGGUUAUAACGGUAGAAUAUGUGAUUUAUUGUCGCUGCACUAUUGAAGCGCUAUUUAGUCUUUCAUGACUGCAAAAUAUUCAUAUUGCUUAGUAUAUUCUGUAUGCAGAAGAACCACAUCUAUACUUCAGGAGCAUCUGGAACCAAUGCAGCAGUUAUCAGAGGUGCAUUGAGGGCUGAAAAACCAGAACUACUUACUGUCAUUUUGCCACAAAGUUUGAAAAAACAACCUCCCGAAAGCCAGGAAUUGUUAUCCAAAGUAAGUUUGAUUGGUUAUAAACAUAUUUACUCAAGAGUUAGAGCUUGUAUAUGUGUACUGUUUGAUUGGUUAAUUCAAGUUUCCGUUUUGAGUUAUUUAAAAUGGCUUAGGGGGGCAUUUGUUGCACAAAGUUGAGUUAGUAAUUAAAUUAUUUAGAGUGUAGAGUUAAGUUGAGUAGUAUCUGGUGUAGUAUUUCUAAAGGAUUCUGAUUUUUGUUUUUUUCUAAAUUUUUUUGUGCAAUUAUUCAAUUGCUCGCAUAUUCUUCUAAAACUUUCAGUACUCAAAUUACAUUAACAUAAUCUUUUCCAUUCUUAAAAAGUUAUUUUGAACACAAAUUUUGAACACUCAUUUCCUUGACAUAUUUUUGCUCAAUUCUUAAAAACUUGAGAUAUCCUAAACACUAAUUUUGGACACCUAAUUACUUAAAAACUUAGCAUAUCUUUUUUCCAUUCUUAAAAACUCAACAUAUUCUUGAAAACUUAGCAUAUUCUGAACACAAGUUUUCAUUGCUCAAUUACUUUAAGACGUGGUAUGUUAUUGUAUUUCAUUUUCAAAUGAAAUUUAAUGCAAAAUUAAGUCACAAUACACCAAAAUUGAUUCACACUCAAAUACUUAAAAAUUUCAUUCAUACUCGAAGAGUGAAAUUUGUGGUACAUUUCUUUUUUCUAUUUUAGGGCUAUUUAGGGUUUUUUUUUUCCAUGAUACUGAAAUUAUGAUUUUUAAAACGUUUUUUUUUACUUCAAAACAAUUUAGCUGAUUUCAAAACAAUUUUGUUUAUUUUCAAAAAGUUUUUAGUUCAAAACAGUUUUGUUUACUUUUAUGUCAAAUUACUAGUGCAAACAUUUUCUUAAAAAUCCUUCCAUUUCAAACAACACGAUAGUACAGUAAGUGUACAGUUAGGAGAGGCUCUCAACUGUUGCAAAAUCACUGGUCUGACUCGUAAUAGAGAAUGAAUUUAAUAGAACAGUGUUUAUUUUUAUUCUGUUUUGUGUGUGUGCUGUUCUGGUGUUUUCCAGGUGCUACUGAGUUGGAUUUUUAACAAAAAACUUCGGAAAUCAAAUGUAGUUUCGUUGCACUUGAAAAUAUCACAAGUUAUUUUGUUAAGAGUUUUUACAGUGUGCUUUUAGAGUCAGAAAAUAGUUUAAACACCAUUUCUAAAUCUUCCCCAACUUUUGAUUGUCUAAAAUGUAAGUUGCGUACUGGUUAAUAUAAUAGAGAAUGAACUGUAAGGGCCCUUCAGUCAACUUUUUUUUUUUUUUUUUAAAUUGUCCCUUUAGUCAACUGCUUAGAUGAUCUAUUGUUGAUGACUUCAUUUGGAUAAGUCUUCAUUAAAUUCUUUUUCUAUUUUGUUUAUCUUGGAAUUUGUAGGUUAGGAAUGUGAUAGAGAAGCCCCACAAUGAUCAUUUAUCUUUGAUAGAAGCUAGCAGGUAUGUGUGUAGUUUUUUUCUUAGUUGACCAUAAGGUGAAUUAGAAUUUCACAUAGUGAAAAUAUUUUUACUGAUGUUGAUUUUUAAUAAUAGUUUAUUGGUAAAGAAAAAGAAUUAGUCAAUCAAUGGUUAUACUUGAUUAAUAAAAAUUGACUUUGACGUACCUAUAGUUAUUAUGUCUUUUUGAAAUGGAAACAAACUAAUAAAAUCAAAUGAACCCCAUCCUAUUCAAACAAACUAAACUCAAUAUUCACAAGUCCAAGGCUUACUCAGCCCGUACAAAGGAGUAACAAAGAUGCCAGGAUAACAACAAACAUGAUAGCUCCUGAUAACUUAAGUGUACACUCGAAGGAAUGAGGGAGAGAAAGGGAGAGGAGAAUGAUGUAAUACGUGUGAAAUGGAAGUUGUUUUAUGUGGGAGUGAGUUUGUAUGGUUUGUGUGGGGUCCAUGGGUUAUUUAUUUGGUUAGUGAAAGUUAGAGAGCCUUUUCGAAGGUGGGGGAAAAGCAGGUAAUUUUCAUAUUUCAGCAUAUUUGUCGUGUAGCUCUUUAGAGCAUAGAGAAGGGGGAGAUCUUGAACGUUGGUUUUUCGCCUAAAUGGUAAAUUCAUCUAGCCAUACCACACACAUUGUUGCAAGUUGGUGUGGAAACUCAAAUUCACCAAAAGUUUGCUAAAAUACAAUAGUGCUUGGACAACAAUUGAGACAGAGUUGACCUUGGGGAAGGAUAAGUUAUGGUAGAUGAUUGAUCUAAAGAUUAUAUAGGGUAAAUACAACGAAACUGUUGAGUGAAGUGGAAGUUAUGGAUCCACUAAGAGAACGAUAAUCGAUGAAGUAAAACAACCAUGUGGUGGCAGAGGAGGAACAUACGAAGAAAGCAAUGGGAGAUGAGUCAUGGAGGGCCUUAAAAAGAAAGAUGAAGAUGGACCAACUCAUUAAAGAUAGUGAGAUAACUCGACAAAAGAGGAAGCAUAAAUAUGGGUCAAACUUUGAAAGCUACAAAUGCCACGAUUCAGAUGACCCAAAUGGAUCUAAAUGGCCUAACACACUACAUAUUUGAAUUUGGUAACCCUAAAGAUGCACAAGGAAAAGUAAUCACCAACGGUGCGUGUAAGCAUCUAUCAGAUAGUGAAUUGAAUAACAAGUAGGAGUGAACAUUAAAAUCGACCUAACCAAAUCAAAUGACAAAACCAAAGUGAACCAAACUGAAAAUCCUAUCUUCACUGGAGUUUUAGUUUUGGAUUUGAAAGCAGAAUUCAUAAUUGAACCAACUCGUCUAUAUUAAAUAUAAAACAAAAAAUCGAACUGAACCAAGUUGAAUAUUUUGCAGUUGGGUUUGGACCAAAUAAAUUGUUUGGUUCAAUUUGGUAUAUAUCAUAACUAGCUUGCCAACAAGAGUUGAACUUAAUUGGCACCUGUAUGUGUUAAAGACCAAGCUCGAUAAAAGGUUAUGCUUCCGUUGUAGUGAAUAUUAAAGUCCAAAUCAUUGGUGCAAGAAGAGAGAGCUGGAUGUCAUGGUCCACCAUGAUGAUGAAUUGGUGAAACAGGAAAUUUGGGUGGUGGAUGAAGUGGCAACUUUGUUAGAAACACUUGAUAUUGAACCCAAACUAGUUGAGGUUGUGGCAUUGGUGGGUCUUUGUGGUGGGUUAAUCAUUUGCUCUAUUAAGAUGUGAAAGUGAGGAACAGGCAGUCAUCUUAUGCAAAAUUAAGGAUUGGUACAAGUUGGUCUUUUUCAUUCGAAAUUCGGUCAAUGGGAUCCGAUUCUUCCAUACAAAAAUCAAAUUGCCCCUUUUUAUGGGGGUUGGAUCAAAAUCAGAAACCUUCCUCUCGACCGGUGGGACGAUGAUAUUUUCAAAUCUAUAGGUAAUUAGUGUGACGAGAUGACUAUUUAGUAAAAAGAUACUAUCUCGUCUUGACCUGAUGAUGGAUGCUACCAUACACAUCAAGCCAAAAAUCAAUGAAGUUAUUCCAGUUGAGGUAUGGAUCCCAUCCACCUACUCCUCAUCUGUCUCUAUCCACAAUGACCCUUUCUUCUCAACAGAGAACUAUAUUGGCUACUUGGUCCAUGGAAUCAUAACACCGACUAAAUUGUACGUUGUCAUUCAGAGAGGAUGUCUAGAUUCAACCCAAAUCGAACAAAGUCCAAGCACAAACUGACAAAUGAAUUUGAAGUUAUCGUUGCUGCACCCAUACCUUCAACCCUAUUAGACAAUUUUGUCAGCGGUAUGGUUCCAUGGACCCAUACCUUUGGCCCUAGUCCCACUAGACAACAAUCCCACUUCUCCACCCAAAAUUCCUCUACCACCACCUCCUCGUUCUUCACCCACCCCUCCACUUACUCGAGCUUCACCCACCUCCCCGCCUACAUCUUAACAUGGCCUACCUCCGUCCAACUCCACGCCUACAACCCCACAAGUUCCAUCUCCUCAGGCCUUUUCAAUAGACCCACCAUUAACCACAAAUAACCAAAAGCCCAACACAACAAAAUACCCAACUGCCCCACCAGGAAACCAAACCAUCAACCCACUACAAAGAUCCAACUCAAUAGCGAACACUGACCUAGUCCCAAUUUCAACCCAGUUCGAUAUAACUCUCCCCAAACUGCCAACCGAUACCACAUCUUCAGUUACAAAAUCAUUGUCGUCAAUUAUUAACAAACCUGUUUUCUGCCUGGCAAAAAAUAUUAAACCAACAUUUAGUGAGGAAAUCAACUCGGACAAUUACCUUUUGAGUCCCCUACCUCUCAACGUUGCUCCACCAGCCUCUCCUCUUCCCACUCCCCUCGUGUUAUAGGACACUAUCAUUGGACAAGCUAUGGUUGAAGGCGAAGCAGCUACAACUCCUAACCCCAUCAAUAUCUCAUCUCCUCACCCUGAAUCUGAUUGCAAAGAGGGACCAGAAGACUGCGUUUUUACUUAAAAAAAUUUCCCACCAUGGCUAUCCAAAAACAAAUGCUGUAUCAUUGCUCAUGCGGCAAAGAACCACAAAACUGCGAAAAAACAACAGCUUCUUAUCAGGGAAUUAAUUAUGACAAGCCACCAUUUUCCUCCAUCCACGGUGAACUAUCCAGUUCAUCAUGUCCAUCAUCUCAUGGAAUGUCAGAGGCCUUAGAGGCUAGGAGAAGCGGUCCCUUAUGAAAUGAGAGAUUGUAAUACACAGCCCAACCAUUGUCAUCCCUCAAGGAACAAAAACUAUUCAUAUUGGCCAACUCUUCAUCAAAUCUAUCUGGAGCUCUUGUAACAUUGGAUGGAAUUAUUAGAGGCAAAUGGUUCAUCGGGAGGUAUUCUUUUUAAAUGGAAUGACCCUGCCCUUACCAUAUCAGACAUCACUAAAGGUCAAUAGUCAAUACACUCUCACUAUGCUCAUUACUAUAGUUGAUUGCUUUAAUUUCUGGUUAUCGGGUAUUUAUGGCCCUUUCUGUUAUAGAGAGACUUGUCUUCUGGCAAGAGUUAGAAGACCUGUCAGCUCUUUGUAGGAAACUGGAUUUUGGGUGGCGAUUUCAGCCCUGAGAAAUUUAAGGAAGGACCGAUCACGAGAAUUGUGAGAAACUUCAACAUAUUCAUAGAUUAAAAUGAAUUAAUUGUCCUUUCUCUGUCCAUUGGGCUCUAUACUUGGUCGUAGUGGAUAGACUCCCCUUCUUUGACUUGUAUCGAUUGAUUCCUCAUGACAGAUUCCAGGUAAGUAUAAGGAAGCUACAACAAGAAAGCUCAAUAGGCCAACAUCAGACCAUUUUCCCAGUAUGCUUAAGCUUGGAAAUAUUAAUUGGGGUCUUCCUUCUUUUCGCUUUGAGGACAUCUAGCACCUUUGCCUCUCUGCUUGAUAAAUGGUGGCAUGAUAAUCACCUCACUGGUUGGCCGAUCUAUGGUACCAUACAGAAGUUUAAGACUUUCAAACCUGUGGUCAAAGACUGGAACAAAUCAACAUUUUGCUGCCUUCUAUCCCUGAAGACGUGAUUGCUAUUUGAGCUUGCUGGUAUCGACACUCUUGAAGAGAACAACUCCUUGACUCUAUCGGACAUUGAAACGAAAAGUCAACUUUAGGCACAAAUUCUUUCCAUAAAUACAAAAGAAGAAGGAUCCUGAAGACAAAAAUGUAAGAGGUGGCUUAAAGACGGCAAUAUGAAUUCCUCCUAUUUCGAUCAUCUUAUGAAUGCUAGAAAAAGGAAAAGUUUGAUGACAAAAAUUCUAUCUAGGGAGGGGAACAACCUUCUUAUAGAAAAAGAGAUUGUGGCUGAAUUUACCUCUUUCUAUGAGAGUCUUUAUAUCAAGGAUAAUGGACAUAGGAGUCUCCCACAGAUUAACAACUAGCAUCCAAUAAGAAGCAUUCACGGGAAAGAACCCUUUGAUUGGCACACGGUGGGUAAAUCCCAUGAUAGUUUGAAGAGUCCCUGGGUUAGCAUUUCAAGAGCUUGGAGGAAGGUGGAAGCCCCGACAAUGUUCUUGGUAAUGGCAGGAGAAACCUUUUUGGACAGACUUAUGGAUAGGUGACAUCCCCUUUAAUCCUCGAUUCCCUAAGCUUUUCAGAAUUGCAUUACUGCCUAGUGAUUCUGUUGCUGCUCCUUGGGAUAAUCCACUAUGUCUUGGUCAAUUGUUUUUCAAAGACUAUUAAAAGAACAUGAAAUCUCAGAUUUUCAAGCUUUGCUUUAUCUACUAUCCUCUAAAAGGGUGUUAAAUUUGGAUGAUAGAAGUCAUUGGUCACUCAACCCAGGCAACUUUUUAGUUAAGUGUCUUUCAGCCCAUCUCACUUCAUCAUCCCCUUUGGAAAAAAGAAUGUUCAAAGCUCUGUGCAAAUCCAGCAGUCCAAGGAGAGUAAAUAUAUUGAUCUGGAUUAUGCUUUUUGGCCUUCUAAAUUACUCCUCGAUUAUGCAAAGAAAGAUCCUCAGCAGUUGUCUAUUGCCCUCAGUUUGCCCUCAGUUUGCCCUCUUUGUAUUAAGGAAGGUAAGGACUUACUGCAUUUAUUUUUGAACUGUUCUUAUUCAGCCAACUUUUGGAGGAAUCUGUUCUCCCUCUUCGAAGUGGCUUGGGGAUUUGAUGGAUCUUUAAGCUUGAACAUCUUUCAGCUGCUUGGGGGCCCGUUUCUACCAAAGCGACAGAAUAAUUUGGGAAAGUAUGUCUAAAGCACUGCUUGCAGAACUUUGGUUCGAACGUAAUCGACAAAUCUUGAUAAAUGGUGGCAUGAUAAUCUCCACAGCCAACUUCUCAAAGUGACUCAAUGGUGCCCCGAGGAAACAUUCAUGCCUCAAGGGAUCUUAGACAGGGCGACCAUUUAUCACCUUUCCUAUUCAUCAGUCAUGGAUUGCCUCUGCAGAAUGCUAAUCGAAGCUAGCUCCAUUAAUUGGAUGAAAGGUUUUCAAAUGGGGUUCAAUUCCAUAUAGGUUUACCAGCUCCUCUUUGCUAAGGAUACCAUUAUUUUCUUUAAACUAAAAGAGGAUGCUAUUGAUAAACUCUUCACCAUCAUCGAUUCCUUCAAAAAGGCAACGGGGUUUAACCUCAACAUGUUGGAAAUUCUGAGCAUUUGCACACCUCCUGAGGAUUUGUGUCGGCUUGGCAUUAUAUAUAACUUCAAAUUCAGUCAAUGGCCUUGUUUCUAUCUUGGCCUCCCAUUGUUUGGAAAACCAAAAUCAGUUUCUUUUUGGGAACCAUCGUGGAAAAGAUUGAGAAAAGAUUAUCAUCAUGGAACAACCAACAUAUCUUUAAAGGUGGCAGGCUAACUCUUCUCCAGGUGACUAUCCAAUUUUCCUAGAUAUUACAUGUUCUUAUCUAAGCUUCUUGUCAUGGUGGCCAAUAAAAUUGUUAUGUAUAGAAAUUUCCUAUGAUAGGGAAUACCACACAAAAUGGAUCUCAUAUGGUUUGCUGGGACAGGAUCAUUAAACCACUCUCCACCGGGGUCUUGGAAUUCAAAAUUUGAAAGAUAAGAAUAUAGCUCCUUGUUAAAUGGAUUUGUGGGACCCCAGACAUGGGUGGUCUCUUAGCUUCGGAAGAAAUAUGAGGGAUGACGAGUUUGAUGUCUAGCUUUCUAUCAUGAAUUUCUUACAAGGUGUCCAACUCAAACAUGGGUCAUCUUUCAGCUUUGAUUUGCAGGAGGUUUGCAUCUUUGAAACAAUGCUUUUUUUCUCAAGCGGGAAGAUUAACUUUGAUGAAAGCUGUGCUUUCAGGUAUUCCAUUGUACUAUCUCUGUUCAGGGUUCCCAGUUUGGUUUUAUAAGAGUUUAGAAAAGCACAUAAGAGACUUUAUGUGCAAUGGUAUUGAUGAAGAAAUGAGUUCUCAUCUUGUUAGCUGGGAGGCGUGAAGGGGUUUGUUACAUCAAGGGGGUUUGGAGAUUGGUAACUUAAGAAAUUGCAACAGAGUUUUGUUGGCAAAGUGGCUAUGGCGCUUUUUUCAUGAACCAGAGGCUUUCUGGCACAAAAUCAUUGAGUAAAUAUGGUAACCAUCUCUCUAAAUGGAUAUCGAAAAGGGUUGAUACUCAUGAAAUUCCCUGGAUUAGCAUUGCUUUUGAAUUACCUUUGUUCUCUUUAUUUACUCGUUGUAUUGUGGGGUAUGGUAAGGAUACCUAUUUUUGGGAGGUUAAGUGGGUGGGAGAUAAUAUUCUUUCUGUCUUUUCCGCGUUUGUAUCACUUAUCUACCCUUAAAAAUUGUCCUAUUUCAGAUUUUUUGAUGAGAUCCGAAAAUUCUAUCUUUUUCCUUUGGGUUUCAUCGUAAUUUGACCGAUAGAGAAACGACUGAGGUCGUUUUUUUUUGUCUCUCGUUGAGAGUUAUCUUUUAGAGUGGUGAGAAAGGAUAUUCCACUAGUCCUAAUUUAGGCUUUUCUUGUAAAUCUUAUUUCAAAUCUUUGUUGGAUCCUUCUCCAGCAGAGAGUCUAUGUCGGAGGUUGUUCGGAAGCUAAAGAUUCCUAAGAAAGUGAGAUUUGUUUCUGUGGCAAGUGUUACUUGAUCAUGUUAAUACUUUAUAUUGGUUAGUGAGGAAAAGAACAACUACUUUUAUGGAACCAUUUUGCUGUAUUCUUUGUUUUUGUGGGAGUUCAUGAUGUAAUAAGAAUAAGGCUAAAAGAAAGCUAUAGUUAGUUAGAGCAGAAGACAGCUGUAGUAGUUAAAAUAGAUAACUACUUUGUAACAAACUUACAAAACCUUAAUAAAUACCACAUCUCUUAGCCAUUAUUGGCAGAAAAUUCAUUUUGAGAAAUUAGUUCUACUUUGAAUUACAUUAGUUCCAUUACACACCAACUGUGUGGAGCUUAUUUCUACAAUAUUUUGGUAUUAAUUAUGCGGGACAUCAUGACAAUCAAGCAACAAUUAGUGAGAACUUCUUCUCAAUCCGCCUUUCAAAGAAAAAGGUUGCUUUUUGUGGUUAGCAGGUGUGAGCGUUUUUGUGAGAUAUGUGGGGUGGGAGGAAUGAUAGAAUUUUUAGAAGAAGAGAGUGGGAUCUUAGUGAUGUCGGGUCCUUGGUUAGAUUUUAUGGUUCUCUUUAGACUUCAAUUUCGAAGCAGUACUGUAACGAUUGGUCAUAUUUUCUUAAUUAGACCCCCUUUUAUAAUAUGAGGGUCGUCUUUAUGGGGUUCCUAUGCCCUUGUACCUUUCAUUUUAUCUCAAUGAAAGCUGUUUUAUAAAAAUAAAGAAAAAAAGAAAAAAACUCACUACCAAUAAAGACAAAUGGAUUUGGAAACCGGAUGUUAAAGCAUUUUUCGCUACAAAAUCUCUCUCCCAAUUUAUGGGAACUAGAACAGUUUCCAUAGAUCUCACCCACUACACAAAGCAAUAUUGAAGGAUUUUUACCCAACCCUUUUUGUGUGUUGAUAGAACAUAAUAGAAUAUUCAUAUUGCCCUCUGAAAGAAAUAGAACUGUAAAACAAAUUAUUUUGAUUCGACUGUCUUUUCUUUUUGACUUGCCUUGAGUUGUCCAAGAAAGAUUGAAUUCUUUAUUUGGGAAGUCAGUCACUAUGCUAUCAACACUGGUGCAGAAUGCCGAAACGCAGCCCCUACAUGGUGAUAUCUCCACAUUGUUGUCACAUCUGCAUUGACCACAUCUUCCUCCAUUGUCUCUUUGCCAAGAGAUUUUGGAAGGAAAUCAUACAUAUUUUUUAAUGGAAUGUCACCUUUCCACAUGAAUACAUUGGCGCCCUACCAUACACACUCACUGGUCACCCAUUCACUAGACCGAAGAAAAUCAUGUGGAUGCAUCUGAUCCAAGCUUUUCUAUGGAUCAUUUGGAAGGAAAGAAACAAACGUCUAUCCACCGAGAAGAAAAGCUCCUAUCACUGCUGUUUUUAACCUUAUUUAUCUAUGGAUCAUUUGGAAGGAAAGAAACAAACGUCUAUUCACUGAGAAGAAAAGCUCCUAUGACUGCUUUUUUAACCUUAUUAUUUAUCAUGGCAUGAGCUGGUGUAAAAAAAUUCCCUUUUCCACUCUUAUGAUCUUUCCUCCCUCUAACCAACUGGAGAAAGCUUAUGCAACUCCAUUGGUCUUGGGCACAGCCCUUCUCUAUAUUUCAUAUAGCAAUGAAAUCGUUUCCAUUGGUUAUCCAUAGAAGCCCAUGGGAAGUGCAACUCCAAAGGAUUUUUCCUUUUCCAUGAAAGCUUCUCCCAUUUAGACUAUCCAUCAUCUAGUCAUCGACCUUCUUAGGAAGGCAGCUAUUCAACCAGAGAGUAUUAAAGUGAGCCCUCCCCCUUAAAAGGUUAAUUUAAUAUCUGAUAUGUGGGCCAUUGGCUCACAUGAUAUUGAAUUAACAUUUUAAGGAGUGCUCGCCAUCCUAGCUUGCUGCUAGGCCCUCAAGCGUCGCCCAUACGUUGCACUACAGCUUGGACCUGGCGUGCACCCCUCCAAAACAGUUACUCCACCCUCUAGCAGUGAAAUCACAAUGUAAAAACAGGUGAUCAACUGUUUCCAUCUCUCUAAAGCAAAGGCAGCACAUAGAAGGGAUCAGAGACCAAUUAGGAAACUAUGGAUCAGAGACCAAUUAGGAAACUUCCUUUGGAGCUUCUCUUGAGUAUUGAGGCUUCUGUAAGCAAUUCCAUCAUCCUUGAAAUUUGAUUAAUCCUUCAACAUUUGCUUUUGUGUUUGAGCCUCUAGAUGGUUUGCCACCACUAGAAGUAAAAGAUCAUCCAAUUGAAUUAUUUCUAAGGGCGGGACUGAAAGAUGUUUGCCCAUACUGAUACCCACAAUUUGAAAAGGAUGAGAAUGAACAUCUGAUGAAAAAAAUGUUGGCAGGGAUAGUACAGCCAAACAGUCCUUUCUCAAAUAUGCCGUUAUUAAUUAAAAGGAAAGAUGACAGUUUGAGGUUUUAUGCUGGCUAUCACCUUUUGUUCGUUUUAAUGUACACUGAGGAAUGAUUUGUUAUUCUAUAAACAGAGAUUGAUGUUACAUCCGAAUUUGGAUUCUCUUGUAAUUAUAAUCUGAUGAGGAGCUCUAAACCCUGAUCCGAAAUAAUUACAAACAAUAACAACAUUCUAAAUUUCGUAAAACUACCCCUACAUCAAUUCCUUUCCCACCCAAAAGAAAAUCAUCCAUGAGUCUAAAUAAACAGAAAAGUCGUCCGGUUCAAAAUAGGGGAAUUGUUGGCGACAUUGAAGGUCGCUGCUGUUCAUAGAUCUAGGAAGGUCCACUCUAUAUGUGUUGCCCCCAGAUCUUUCCAGAAUAGCAAAUGGCUCGUAUUUCUUAUUGGAGAGUUUGGAAUCAGAUCUAGUAGGUAAAUGGUUCUUAAUAUAAACCAUCACUAGGUUGAAAAGUUGAUAUGCGGUGACGAAUAUCAACUUGCGCAUUUAGAGUUUGGGUAAGACCUUCGCAUGAAUCUUCUAAACCUGAUCAACAAUGGUCUACCCAAGGACCUUGGUAGUGCCGAUGUUCGUAGAUGUAGGAAGGUCCGCUCGAUAUGUGUUCUCUCCAAAUCUUUCCAGAAUAGCAAAUGACCUGUAUUUCUUGUUCGAGAGUUUGGAAUAAGAUCUAGCAGGUAAAGAUUCUUUUUAACAUAAACCAUCAUCAGAUCACUGGGUUUAAAAGUUGAUUUGCGAUGACAGAUAUCAGCUUGGGCACUUAGGGUUUUCAGCCAUCAAAUGCCCAAGGAUCUUGGAUGGAAUUUUCAAAACCCGAUCAACCACGGUCUACCUCCUUGCAAUGGAGGAAGGCUAUCUGGGACUUGGGUUCAGUUGGGAAAUUCAUCUAAAAGUUAACAAUCCUACUAUCCACGGUGGGAAGUGAAGGGACAACAGAAGCAGUUUACAUUAAGGAGUAAACUUAGACGCCUGCACGAGGGCCUGUUUAGUGUUCAAUAGAUAAUAUAGAAAACAAUUGUCCUUGUUCUCCAGUGAUAUUUGAAGGUUGUCUCGAACUCACCUAGCUUUUUGCCUAAAUAGUAAAUACAUAAGUUCGGCUACUGUGAUUAUGUCUAACUUGUAUCAGAUGUUCUAUCUGCUAUUUAUUGUGAUUUAUAUACAUAUAUGUAUGUAUAUAAUAAAAUAAUGGUUAAAAUACAAUUGUCCAAUAGUUGAACUUUAAAUAGGUCGCUAAAGCUUCAUUUUUUGUCUAAUAGUACUUGAGCUUCAAAACUUCUUAUAGAUCCUAUUUGACUUUUUGUGAAAUUUACCACUGAUCUUAUUAAACGCAACAUUAAAAAUUGAAAGUCAUAGAUAUAAAAUUGAAUUUUGUGUUUAAUUUAUAAUCCACAAAUUUAAAAUGGAAUUAUGUAUCAUUGCAUUGUUCCAUCUCAUGGGUUUAUUGAAAGUUGCAGGUUAUGUAAUAUGGACAUCAUUUCGCACGUACAGCAAGUCAUUUGCUUUGCAUUUCAUGAUAGUAGGUUGCUCAUGGAAACAUGUCAAGAGGCAAAAAAUCUCCGGAAGAUUGUCACGCUUUUUUAUCUCGACUAAGAAGUAGGUCGAAAAUUUGUAAAUACAUUAUUUAACCGACAUUUACAUAUUUCGUCUAAUUUUGCUUGUAAAGUUAUUAUCCUUGAUGCUCCCUGCUGGUGCUCAAAGUUUUCCAAUCACUGUGACAGUGGAAAAGAGGCCAAUUUGCCUUUCCGAAGAGAUUUUUAUUUUUUAUGUUUGAUAGCUUUUUUUUUUCCUUUUUCUUUUGAAAUAAAAAACGACAAAAGGGGCAACCAACCUUCCCUUUUGAAUAUAUUGCUCCAAUUGGAUUUCAUGAUUCACAUAUAUUCAUGAAUUUAUAAGAACAACCAUGAAAUAUUUUCCUCCAUGAACUUCAGACUAUGGAAACAUACAAUCAACAGACAAGAACUCACUUGUACCCCUCACUAAACAUACAUUUUGUUCUAGGAUAAACAUACAAACUUUAUAAGCAUGCUUUUUACUUAAGAAUUGAAAGAGAUGAAGGAACUUGUCCUUGAACAUUUAUUGUCUUCAAGCAAUUCCAAUUUCUUCUAUUGCUCCUUGAUCAAACUUGAUCAACAAGAACACUACCACCAAGGUUUUCCUAAUUAUUCUCUAGGAUUCAAAGAAUUGGAUGUGUGGCUCCAAGACUUUGGUGAGAGGAAUUCUUUUCUGGAGGGGUAAAAAAAGAAAUAAAAUUGCUAGGUUUUCUCUGUUGAACUAACCAUUAAUUAAUUAAUAAUUUGAUCAUAUUUAAUUAAUGUAUAUAAAUAUCAAGUAUUUAUACGCGUAUAUCGGUCUGCACUAUAUUAUUAAUAUGAAUCUCAUUCAUAUUAAUUUUAAUAGAUGAAUCUUAGUUCUAAUAGAUUUCUUCUUUUAAUAUAGUUUUUAAUUACAAAUCAUAUUUAUAAUUAACUAUACCUUAUAAUGUAUUAAAAUACAUUAUACUCUAUAUCAAUCAAAUUAACAUAAAGUUGAAAUUAACAUAAAGUUGAAAUCUACGUCCUAAAAUUUGUAGUUUGUAAUUCAAAAUCAUGUUACUGAGAUUUUGUUAGUAAAAUUGAAUUUUGUAAUCUUGAAUCCUAUAAACUAAGGUCUCAGAGCUAUCUUGAGUAAACUUGAAUUUUAUGUAGAAACAUAAAUAUGGAUCAAGUUUGAGUAUAUAGCCUAAACGGUUUAUAGUAUGUGAAUAAAGGUUGUGUGCCUUAUUUUAGGAACACUACAGAUGUGACCCUUCCAAUAUUGUGAACGAACUAACUUCAAUUCAUUCAUUUUAUUACCAUAUUGGACGAUAAGCUUCAAAAAUUUAAUAUAAAAUAUGUUAUAUUUACAAUUUUUUUUAUAGUGUAUUACAUCUAAAAAGUUAAAUUAUUGUGAUUUGAAUAAAGAGAGAAUGGGAAAUUUCCAAAAAAAGAGGUUUACGAGGAAAACCUAAAAUUUGGACCCAUCGGCCAUCGGCCAUCAGCAUCAAUCAUUUGGUUGAAAUGUAUAUAUAUAUAUAUAUAUACAUUAAAAAGGGUUGGGGGACACCUGUUAAGAUGAUGUGAUCUGAAUUGUUCAUGUAAAGACAUGAGAGUGGGGGCAUCAAAUGUAAAGAGUUUUCAUAAGACUAAACAAGGAAAUGGUCAAUUUUACGUUAUAACAUCGUUUACUGUCCAAAACUGACUAUUUAGAUUAUUAAUGACUUAGGUAACUUAAUCUUAAUCUUGAGCUAGCUACAAACUUAAUUAGGAGUAAACGAGUAAGAUUGGAUGAAUAGCUGGGGACAUAAGGUGCAAGACGAAAUUCAUUCAUAUCCGCUUUAGGGUUAGUAGAUAGGUUAUUCCCUUAAGGACUGAAUCCAACGAAGAAGGGGUCCACCCUCUCAUUGGCCCGAGAGGGAUUUGGUUUUGGACCUUAAACCAAUUGUUUAAUAGUGGAUCAGUGAGACUUAAGGAGCAAGAUGUAGUUUCGAGAGAAAAACAGUAAUUUGAUCCAACGGAGGUUAUGAACGUACUGUGAAGGAUUAACUUACUGAUCAUGGUUAUAUCAAAUGAACACAAAAUAUAUUGAUAGAGGAGAGUGUAGGGACUUUAGUGGAAUGACCUGUCAAUUAACAAAUGUUGAUUAGCUUGGUCUAAAGGGGUUUAGUUAGUUAAUCUGGAAUCGUUGGAGUUCAUGAUCUAUAGGUUCAUUGAGUUUUUCUGCUAGCUCAUGUGGAAUAAACUUAGAAUAAUAUGAUGAAAUGAUUCGAAUUGUUUGAAUUAGAUGAGGAGAGAGAAACCAACAAGUAUAUGCGAUAUAAUCACCGGUUAUUAGAUUAGAUAUAGAUUUUAUGUUUAAAUGAGAUUUAAAUAUUAAAAAAAUCUAAUUACAGAUUCAUAUUUGAAAGCUCGAAAUUGAUAGAAAUAGUCAAAGUUAUAAAAAGUAAAAGGGUUUACUUUUGAUUUUAAAAACUCAAAGCUUUGACUAAACGAUAUAUUCAAAUAUGAUUUAAAUUUUGAGAAAAUGAAUGUCCAUUCAUGCUUGGAAGGUCGAAAUUAGUUAAGGAGGUCAAAAUGAUAAAAAGUAAAAAAAAAAAGUCAAAAUGUUGACUUUUGACUUUGAUUUGAAUGGUCAAAUGACCAUUUUGUCCCUUGCCUUAAGUUAGUGGAAAAAAUCCAAGAUUUUGUUCGAUAAUCUCCCUUACUCUUAGUGGGCUAAGUGGAGGUUCACGGUGAUGACAAAUCCACUAAAAAAAUGCAAUGGUAAAUAAUUCCACUAAUAGUAAAUAGAAAGUGAAGUGUUAAGAUUUGGUGAACUAAUUAUAUGCAAUAUGACUUGAUAAUUUGUUUUUUGAAAGACACACUCUACCAAAACAAAAUUCCAAUCUUUAACCUUAAAAAAAAUUAUUGACCCUUCCAAUUCCAUUACUUUCUAUCUCAAAUCUCUCUCUCGACUCCUCCAUCUAUCAGGUUCCACAAUCUGAUUAUGAGUUUGGAGGAUAGUAGGUGAUUACUAGUGGUGGUCAGGUCAAGUUUAUGUAAAGAUUGUCUAGUAAACUUAGCUACAAAGGUAAAACUUCACCUAACCCUAAGUCAAUUUAGUUUAGGGUUGCAUGUUAACAUGGAGCAUUUGGAGUAAAAUCUUGUUCUAAAUUUCGUUGCGCAUGUCUAUUUUUCAUUAACAAAUAAUUUGAACACCAUCAAUUAUUUCUCAAUAUUACCUUUAGUGAGCUAACAUGGAAACCUAAUUGACCUAUAUAUUAGAAGCUCCAAUGAUAGAUGAUUGGUAUUUAAAAUGCUUGGUGUUGUGAUAGAUGAUGUUGUGUGCACGUGGGGUUGAUGAUAUGAUGAGGUAUGUGAAUAUGAGUAAUGCAUAUUUAGAUGCAUUGGUAAUGCUUUGCCAUAAGUUUUCCUAUCUCGAGUCCAAGUGCAAUUUAAGCAAAGGUGUCACAAAAAUUAUCUGAGGUCGAACAAGAAGAAUGAACAACAUAUGGUUAAAAAAAUUGAAAAAUGUUUUUUGUGCGAGUGUUUAUCAAAUAUUCGAGGUGUGGUUAUCUAUUAAACAAUGAAAAAGUGUGUGUCAUAAUUUAGAGUGUGUGAGAACUAAGUGUCAACACAAAAAAAAAAAAAAAAA